This 140-nucleotide microRNA precursor is filed under the name Tursiops truncatus (common bottlenose dolphin). RNAcentral's name for it is "miRNA (ENSTTRG00000022743.1)". The stretch from base 44 to 95 matches the Rfam family "mir-1302 microRNA precursor family". Lineage: Eukaryota; Metazoa; Chordata; Mammalia; Artiodactyla; Delphinidae. The record is from RNAcentral.
CAGGAAGCCCAGUAAAUUUGAAUGUCAAAUAAACAAUGAAUAAUUGUUAGAGUAAGUAGGUCCCAUGCAAUAUUUGGGACACACUUAUUCUAAAAAAAAAUUUAUUUAUCUGAAAAUCAAAUUUAACUGGACAUCCUGUA